AUGACAGAGAGAGGCAGCACUCAGUCUAGGACCUGAUGGGCCUGCAGUCCAAAUAGAGCACCUGAUUCGUUGCCGACUGACUCUGUUGCUCUGUCUCUCAGCAUUAUGGAUGAACCUGCAAUCAAUAAGGAAAUAAUGGAUCCCACCACAUCAACAGAAACAGAAG
This is a long non-coding RNA of Carassius auratus (goldfish), 166 nucleotides long. RefSeq lists it as uncharacterized. The transcript is spliced from 3 exons. The record is from RefSeq and is a predicted model, not a curated record. Lineage: Eukaryota; Metazoa; Chordata; Actinopteri; Cypriniformes; Cyprinidae.